UAAAAUCUGGGCAUAACAUAUGGGGGCUCAUCCGGGAUAUCCUCCCCACAGAGCUCCUGGGACCCGGACACGUUGGGCCUAAUCGCCGGUUGGUCCUGUGACUGCUUUGACAGGUAGACUAAGGUGGAAACGACGUUCCAAUCCCGGGAGAGCCCUUUACCCGCCUAGCCAACCACCAGAUAAAACAUGUGAACAGCCGGAGACUGCCACCGGCCCAAGCCAUGAAGAGAGGCCCUGGAGAACGAGACAGUAUGUGCGGGAGCCAAGGAGCACCAAGGAGGAGCAUGUGUGAGGGAAGAAGCCAUUGUGGAAAUGAAACCUCCAGCCACUGCUACCCUGGGUGACGGCAGUAUCUCCAAAUAAAUCCAACUUGGGAGUUCCA
This is a long non-coding RNA of Suricata suricatta (meerkat), 382 nucleotides long. RefSeq lists it as uncharacterized. The transcript is spliced from 3 exons. The record is from RefSeq and is a predicted model, not a curated record. Lineage: Eukaryota; Metazoa; Chordata; Mammalia; Carnivora; Herpestidae.